Molecule: ribosomal RNA, 253 nt
Filed under: uncultured bacterium
Lineage: Bacteria
Description: partial 16S ribosomal RNA
Rfam family: Bacterial small subunit ribosomal RNA
Source: RNAcentral
UACGUAGGGGGCUAGCGUUGCUCGGAAUGACUGGGCGUAAAGGGCGCGUAGGUGGCAUGAUAAGGGUGUGGUGAAAGCCCGGGGCUCAACCCCGGGUCGGCCAUGCCGACUGUCACGCUGGAGUACUGUAGGGGCAGGCGGAAUUCCGGGUGUAGCGGUGGAAUGCGUAGAUAUGCGGAGGAACACCGAUGGCGAAGGCAAUCCCCUGGGCCAACACUGACGCUCAUGCACGAAAGCGUGGGGAGCGAACAGG